CAUAAAUGCUGGGCAAUUAGAUCAUGGGUUGUCCCUGAAGACUGAUGGGAUAAUAAGCUGUAGUUAAGUAUUAAGUUGACCCAGUGAAGGUCCCAUCUGAAUAAACCUGGCUAGGGCCACAGCUGGUGCCUUUUAAAUGAAACUUUUACAUUAAGAGCAUACAAAAGGUGACUGUUCUGGGAGCAUGCGCAAAACUGCGCUCUCUGUGAGCCCCGCCAAGGUUCAAGGUGCCUUCGCUCAGCACCUCUGCCUUUGUGAAGCUGUGUAGGCUUGAGUGGCCGGCUCUCCCGUGAGGCCAACUGGGCUGGGGCAUUACCAUCCAGCAUGGCGCUCUGGAGUCACUGGAAAGCUGGUAAAAAGGAUGCAAGUACCAGUAAGAGUGUAGCUUCUAGCCCAGAAGAGCUGAAGUCUGAGAGAUCAACCCUGCUGGAACCAGAACAGAGCCAGAAAGGCCAAACAGCCUUGUCAGGAACUGGAAGAGUGGGGAAACCUUCCUAUCUCCUGGUUUACAAGGCCCCCUGGCUUCUAGACUCCAGCAGUGAAGUUUCCCUGGCCUGGCCUCUGGAACAAAAAACCAAGAAGCCCAAAACUGGAACUCCAGACCCUAUGCUCCCCCACCCUCAGGGACUGAGCUAAGUGUGAGUUAUGCCUGUCUUCAGAGUCUGAGCCACGUGACUAUUGAGUCACUAUUAAGAUCUGAGAGAUGCCUUCGUCCUCAGCCGCCGCUUGGUUGUAAAACAAAACUCCGACUAAUGAUUGCAGUUAGCUGUUCCUUUACUCCCGCCAGUGUUGAUGACCCUUUUCCAUUCCCAGGACCCACCUCAGGAGGCGCACAACUGCUGGCAGCUCAGCUCCUGGGGGUCCUACACCCUCUUCUGGUCUCCAAGAACACCUACACACGUGUGGCACACAGACACACAGAUUCCAUCAGUGAAUCCAUCACCCACGGAUUAUCUCAGAGCCCUUAGGAUCCAGUUGCCUUCCAAAAGCCCAUUGGAUGCCAAGCAAGGCUCCAACACAGGAGUCUAUAAAAAACAUCUCAGAUUUAAGCCACAACGCUGUCUGUAUUAUCAGUUUUCAACAAGAAGUUCUAAAGACUGCAAAGAAGCAGAAAGGCAAAGCAGGUGGAAGAUCACCACAGAAACUUGGCCUGGGAGAAUCUGGAUAUUGAGAUGGGCAGAAAAAAUAUCACCCGUGAUAAGCACGCCUUCUUAAAACACAAGGGACUGCCUUUCAAAACAUUAAAUGAAAGCAUGACCACAAUGACUCAAGAAAUGGAGAAUACCAAUUGAAACAAAUUAUUUUUUAAAAACAGAAUGAAAAUCCUAGAACAAAAUAUAGUAAUUACAAGGUGGGGAAAAACCCAUAAAUUUCCCAGCACCAGAUCUGAAAUGGGCUGGAGAGGGAAUCAGCAAGUCUGUGGAUGGAGCAGAAGAAAUAAUCUGCUGAUGUGUGUACCUGAAAAUGUCACCAUGGACCCCAUCAUCAUGGAUGCUGAACAAAAAGUUAACUCAUAAAACAAAGACAAAUAGCAAUCCAUUCUUAAGAAAAUGGGAAAAUGCUAGGAUGAAGAGAAAUGAAGAGAGGUUGGAAGACAUGUGGGACGACACUGAGCAUGUCAACAUGUGGAUGACAGAGACAGAGAGGAGGGAAGAAUGAUGGUGACAAUGGCCCACAGUCUCCAACUUGACUCAAAUGUCACAUAUGCUGAAGCACUAAUGAGCCACAAGGGAAAACAUACAGAGAUCCACCUUGGGCUCAUCAUAGCCAGGAUGAUAAUCGACAACAUUGAAAGAAGAGAAAAAUGACUUAUCCUCAGGAUAAACAAUAUGAUCGAUCAGUGGCCACCUUCUUAUCAGGAACCAUGGUGGCCUACACGCAGCAGACAGACGUAUUGAAAGUGUUGAAGGAAUAAACUUUCAACUAAAUCCAUGUCCAUUAAAAUGAUCAUCUCAAGCCUGGCGUGGUGGUGCACACCUUUAAUCCCAGCACUCGGGAGGGAGAGUCAGGUGGAUCUCUGUGAGUUCGAAGCCAAC
Non-coding RNA from Peromyscus maniculatus bairdii (prairie deer mouse), 2036 nucleotides. The record is from RefSeq and is a predicted model, not a curated record. NCBI's taxonomy places the organism in Eukaryota, Metazoa, Chordata, Mammalia, Rodentia, Cricetidae.